CCCCACUGAGUUACAUCCUCAGCCCCGCACCACUGUAGCUUCACUGUGUGUGAAUUUUACUACUUUCUGGAGGCCGGGAAGUCUGGGUACACUGUGCCAGCAUCUAGCAAGGGCUUCUAUGCUGAGUCACACAAGACAGAAGCGCAAGCUAUCACAGGAGAGAUGGGGGAAUCGGAUGGAUUCACCCCUUUCAUUAAAGACUCCCUCCCUUGAUAAGAGUGCUGGGAUUACAGGCCUGCGACCUCACAUUUGUCCUCGUCUGACACUAAAGUUUCCACUGCUUCACACGGUUACAAAAGCAACGUGAGUUUUGGAGAAGACAUCCGAGCCAUCCAUCGCAGAAGCAGAGCAGCAGGUGCAGAGGUCCUGAGGCAAUGCUGAAUUUAGCUCAUUCAAAGAGUAGCUUGGAGGCCAGUGUCUUCAGU
This is a long non-coding RNA of Octodon degus (degu), 425 nucleotides long. RefSeq lists it as uncharacterized. Lineage: Eukaryota; Metazoa; Chordata; Mammalia; Rodentia; Octodontidae. The record is from RefSeq and is a predicted model, not a curated record. The transcript is spliced from 3 exons.